GGAUGAACGCUAGCUACAGGCUUAACACAUGCAAUUCGAGGGGCAGCAUGAAUCUACUUCGGUAGAUUUGAUGGCGACCGGCGCACGGGUGCGUAACGCGUAUCCAACCUUCCCGUUACUCCGGGAUAGCCUUCCGAAAGGGAGAUUAAUACCGGAUGGUGUUUGAAGUCCGCAUGAAAUUCAAACUAAAGAUUUAUCGGUAACGGAUGGGGAUGCGUACCAUUAGAUAGUAGGCGGGGUAACGGCCCACCUAGUCUACGAUGGUUAGGGGUUCUGAGAGGAAGGUCCCCCACACUGGAACUGAGACACGGUCCAGACUCCUACGGGAGGCAGCAGUGAGGAAUAUUGGUCAAUGGCCGUAAGGCUGAACCAGCCAAGUAGCGUGAAGGAUGAAGGUUCUAUGGAUUGUAAACUUCUUUUAUACGGGAAUAACACCAUCUACGUGUAGAUGCCUGCAUGUACCGUAUGAAUAAGCAUCGGCUAAUUCCGUGCCAGCAGCCGCGGUAAUACGGAGGAUGCGAGCGUUAUCCGGAUUUAUUGCGUUUAAAGGGAGCGUAGACGGGAUGUUAAGCCAGUUGGGAAAUGCUGGGUUUCACCCAUAGCACUCCAGUUGAUACUGGGCGUUCUGGAGUGGGUAUGAGGUAUGUGGAAUUCGUGGUGUAGCGGUAAAAUGCUUAGAUAUCACGAAGAACUCCGAUGGCGAGGGCAGCGUACCAAUCCGUAACUGACGUUGAUGCUCGAAAGUGUGGGUAUCAAACAGGAUUAGAUACCUGGGUAGUCCACACGGUAAACGAUGGAUACUCGCUGUUGGCGAUAUAUUGUCAGCGGCCAAGUGAAAACGUUAAGUAUCCCACCUGGGGAGUACGCCGGCAACGGUGAAACUCAAAGGAAUUGACGGGGGCCCGCACAAGCGGAGGAACAUGUGGUUUAAUUCGAUGAUACGCGAGGAACCUUACCCGGGCUUAAAUUGCAUCUGACAGGUCAGGAGACUGACUCUUCUUCGGACAGAUGUGAAGGUGCUGCAUGGUUGUCGUCAGCUCGUGCCGUGAGGUGUCGGCUUAAGUGCCAUAACGAGCGCAACCCUUGCUUCCAGUUGCCAUCAGGUGAUGCUGGGGACUCUGGAAGGACUGCCAUCGUAAGAUGUGAGGAAGGUGGGGAUGACGUCAAAUCAGCACGGCCCUUACGUCCGGGGCUGCACACGUGUUACAAUGGGGGGUACAGCAGGCUGCUACCGGGCGACCGGAUGCCAAUCCCUAAAACCCCUCUCAGUUCGGACUGGAGUCUGCAACCCGACUCCACGAAGCUGGAUUCAAUAGUAAUCGCGCAUCAGCCACGGCGCGGUGAAUAC
This 1348-nucleotide ribosomal RNA is filed under the name uncultured bacterium. RNAcentral's name for it is "bacterial SSU rRNA". It matches the Rfam family "Bacterial small subunit ribosomal RNA", at positions 27 to 1369 of the family's 1533-position model. The record is from RNAcentral.